AUGCAAGUCGAACGAGACCUUCGGGUCUAGUGGCGCACGGGUGCGUAACGCGUAGGCAAUCUACCCGAUACAGGGGAAUAACACGGGGAAACUCGUGCUAAUACUGCGUAAUAAAUGAGAAGGCAUCUUCUUAUUUUAAAAGCUUCGGCGGUAUCGGAAGAGCCUGCGUCCUAUUAGCUAGUUGGUAAGGUAACAGCUUACCAAGGCGACGAUAGGUAGGGGAACUGAGAGGUUGAUCCCCCACACUGGUACUGAGAUACGGACCAGACUCCUACGGGAGGCAGCAGUGAGGAAUAUUGGUCAAUGGACGGAAGUCUGAACCAGCCAUGCCGCGUGUCGGAAGACGGCCCUCUGGGUUGUAAACGGCUUUUCUUUGGGAAGAACACGCUCUUGCGAGAGCAACUGACGGUACCAAAGGAAUAAGCACCGGCUAACUACGUGCCAGCAGCCGCGGUAAUACGUAGGGUGCAAGCGUUGUCCGGAUUUAUUGGGUUUAAAGGGUGCGUAGGCGGCUAUUUAAGUCGUGGGUGAAAGCCCGUCGCUUAACGACGGAAUUGCCUGCGAUACUGGAUAGCUUGAGUAUCGUUAAGGUUGGCGGAAUGGGAGGUGUAGCGGUGAAAUGCAUAGAUACCUUCCAGAACACCGAUUGCGUAGGCAGCUGACUAGGCGAUAACUGACGCUGAGGCACGAAAGCGUGGGGAGCGAACAGGAUUAGAUACCCUGGUAGUCCACGCCGUAAA
This 740-nucleotide ribosomal RNA is filed under the name uncultured bacterium. RNAcentral's name for it is "bacterial SSU rRNA". It matches the Rfam family "Bacterial small subunit ribosomal RNA", at positions 55 to 806 of the family's 1533-position model. The record is from RNAcentral.